Molecule: ribosomal RNA, 439 nt
Filed under: uncultured bacterium
Lineage: Bacteria
Description: bacterial SSU rRNA
Rfam family: Bacterial small subunit ribosomal RNA
Source: RNAcentral
UACGGGAGGCAGCAGUGGGGAAUAUUGCACAAUGGGCGCAAGCCUGAUGCAGCCAUGCCGCGUGUAUGAAGAAGGCCUUCGGGUUGUAAAGUACUUUCAGUCGUGAGGAAGGUGUUAAGGUUAAUAACCUUAGCAAUUGACGUUAGCGACAGAAGAAGCACCGGCUAACUCCGUGCCAGCAGCCGCGGUAAUACGGAGGGUGCGAGCGUUAAUCGGAAUUACUGGGCGUAAAGGGCACGCAGGCGGUUAAUUAAGUUGGAUGUGAAAUCCCCGGGCUUAACCUGGGAAUGGCAUUCAAGACUGGUUAGCUAGAGUCUUGUAGAGGGGGUAGAAUUCCAUGUGUAGCGGUGAAAUGCGUAGAGAUGUGGAGGAAUACCGGUGGCGAAGGCGGCCCCUGGGACAAGACUGACGCUCAUGUGCGAAAGCGUGGGGAGCAAAC